This 378-nucleotide ribosomal RNA is filed under the name Pseudomonas sp. RNAcentral describes it as "bacterial SSU rRNA". It matches the Rfam family "Bacterial small subunit ribosomal RNA", at positions 1034 to 1411 of the family's 1533-position model. The record is from RNAcentral. Lineage: Bacteria; Pseudomonadati; Pseudomonadota; Gammaproteobacteria; Pseudomonadales; Pseudomonadaceae.
ACAGGUGCCGCAUGGUUGUUGUCAGCUCGUGUCGUGAGAUGUUGGGAUAAGUCCCGUAACGAGCGCAACCCUUGUCCUUAGUUACCAGCACGUUAAGGUGGGCACUCUAAGGAGACUGCCGGUGACAAACCGGAGGAAGGUGGGGAUGACGUCAAGUCAUCAUGGCCCUUACGGCCUGGGCUACACACGUGCUACAAUGGUCGGUACAAAGGGUUGCCAAGCCGCGAGGUGGAGCUAAUCCCAUAAAACCGAUCGUAGUCCGGAUCGCAGUCUGCAACUCGACUGCGUGAAGUCGGAAUCGCUAGUAAUCGUGAAUCAGAAUGUCACGGUGAAUACGUUCCCGGGCCUUGUACACACCGCCCGUCACACCAUGGGAGU